AAAUGAAUUGACGGGGACCCGCACAAGUGGUGGAGUAUGUUGUUUAAUUCGAUGCUACGCGAGAAACCUUACCGACUCUUGACAUGUUCGACGCGAUUUCCAGAGAUGGAUUUCUUCAAUUCGGUUGGUCGAAACACAGAUGCUGCAUGGCUGUCGUCAGCUCGUGUCGUGAGAUGUUAGGUUAAGUCCUGCAACGAGCGCAACCCACGCCCUAUGUUGCCAGCGGGUCAUGCCGGGAACUCUUAGGGGACUGCCCGCGUCAAGCGGGAGGAAGGCGUGGAUGACGUCAAGUCAUCAUGGUUCUUACGAGUCGGGCUACAAACGUACUACAAUGGCGUUAACAAUGGGUCGCAAUGCUGCAAGGCAAAGCCAAUCCUUAAAAAGCGCCUCAGUUCAGAUUGUCCUCUGCAACUCGAGGGCAUGAAGUUGGAAUCACUAGUAAUCGUUGAUCAGAAUGCAACGGUGAAUACGUUCCCGGGUCUUGUACACACCGCCCGU
This 498-nucleotide ribosomal RNA is filed under the name uncultured bacterium. RNAcentral's name for it is "bacterial SSU rRNA". It matches the Rfam family "Bacterial small subunit ribosomal RNA", at positions 903 to 1397 of the family's 1533-position model. The record is from RNAcentral.